GAAUCAACUUUAUUUUGCAUGUUAAUAUUUUUGUUCUCAAAUCCAAUUUAUUAAUUUUUAUUUUCACGUCUUAUUAUUUUAAUUCACGCGAACGAGAAAGCCAUUCGAGUCUCUUGGGAAAACGAUACUUGGUCUUACCAUUUAUAUUACUUGUACGAUUUGGUACACUUGCCAAUUUGUCAACAGCAGGUCUAAACAUCUUCCAUGAAUAUAGCACCCAACCUUGCCUGGUUUUUUCUCUUUGUAGUGUCGCUGCCAUUAAUGCCCCUUGUCAUCACCUACGGCCACCACCGAGCCUACAACUGGAAACAAAACUCAGAAUCACCAUUGACAAAGCCGUUGAGUUUAAUGCCUUCUUUCCCCUUUCAAUCUGGGUCUUCUUAUGACUGUUCUUCAUUGAAUUUUGUAUGGUUUUGGUUGAUGACGGUUAGAAGUUAGCUUAUGGCUUGCUGGAAUUUCUUUAACACGGAGAGUUUGGAAUAGGAAGAGUAUACUGUGAAUGGUUUCCAACAGUACUAGAGAAGCGUCGAAGACUGCCAAGAGUUAAUUAAUUCAAUUAUUUUGAUGUUGAUAUUGAUAUUGAUACUGAUGAAGGUGUUUUUUCUGUGAGAGAUGAUGGAGGAAUUGAACCGUGUGUGUGAUAGAGGAAAAACGGGUUUUUGGUCCCUGCUCGGUUGAUUUUUGUUUUUUUUCAUUUGGUUCACUGCAAGUUGAGGGUGGGGAUCCUGAUGGGUGAUGUAGAUGGAGUUUAUGAAGCGAGGGAAUGAGUUUCUCUGUUGUGUGUGAUGAGGGUGUAGAAGUGAAGGAGUAGGAAUUGUGAGAGGGUCCUUGAGUGGAUCAGUGAAUCAUGAUUUUUCGAGGGAGGAGGCUAGGUGUAAUUGAUGAUGAUAGUUUUCUUUGGUUUUUAGGAGGUGAUGAUGAGAUAAUGGUGGUGAAACCGGAAUGGCCGAGGUGUUGCUCUUGAAGCUGUGAUUGUGAGGUGUUGGAGAUGGAAGAAUUUCGUGAAUGAAGGUGGAUGAGGUGGGAUGAUUCUGUUGGAGGUGUGUGAUGUUUAUUCAGGUGGUGCUGAAUUGUUGAUGAUGGAUCAAUGGGGUUGGAGAGUAGAGGAAUCAGUUAGGAUGGGGUAAUGAGGUAGUGGUGCCCCAUGGGAAAUUGCAUGUUAUCCCCUCUGGAAUAAUUCGUUUCUGUUUUGCCCUAAGGAGAUUUCCGUGAGAGUCGUGUGCUUGUCCAGGAAUUGAUUUGAUAAUUUUUGUUAAGCUUGUAACCAGUGCCACGUGAGGAAAUGAUGGUUGUUGCCUAUGCUGAUGGAGGAACAAUUUCUUUUUUUGUUCAAAGGCAUUGAUCACAUUGCUUUUUUCUUUUCUUUUCUUUUCUUUUUUGUUUUUUUUUUUCUUUCUUUUUUUCCUUUUUCUUUUUUCCUUUUUUCUUUUUUUUUUAUUUUUCGUUUCUUUUUUCAAAAAGAAACAAAUAAAAUAUAAAAUAAAAAAC
RNAcentral lists this long non-coding RNA (1488 nucleotides) under Vigna radiata. Its description in RNAcentral is "long non-coding RNA (VRAD_LNC015036)". Lineage: Eukaryota; Viridiplantae; Streptophyta; Magnoliopsida; Fabales; Fabaceae. The record is from RNAcentral.